Molecule: ribosomal RNA, 406 nt
Filed under: uncultured bacterium
Lineage: Bacteria
Description: partial 16S ribosomal RNA
Rfam family: Bacterial small subunit ribosomal RNA
Source: RNAcentral
AUUGAACGCUGGCGGCAGGCCUAACACAUGCAAGUCGAACGAGUGGCGGACGGGUGAGUAAUGCCUGGGAAACUGCCUGAUGGAGGGGGAUAACUACUGGAAACGGUCGCUAAUACCGCAUACCAUCGGAUGUGCCCAGCUGGGAUUAGCUAGUUGGUGGGGUAAAGGCUCACCUAGGGGACGAUACCUAGCUGGUCUGAUAGGAUGACCAGCCACACGGGAAGUGGGACACGGUCCAGACUCCUAGGGGAGGCAGCAGGGGGGAAUAUUGGACAAGGGGCGCAGGCCGGAUGCAGCCAGGCCGCGUGGAGGAAGAAGGCCUUCGGGUUGUAAAGUACUUUCAGCGGGGAGGCGUUACCCGCAGAAGAAGCACCGGCUAACUCCGUGCCAGCAGCCGCGGUAAUAC